RNAcentral lists this ribosomal RNA (1012 nucleotides) under Gormaniella terricola. Its description in RNAcentral is "large subunit ribosomal RNA". It matches the Rfam family "Bacterial large subunit ribosomal RNA", at positions 1814 to 2925 of the family's 2925-position model. Lineage: Eukaryota; Viridiplantae; Chlorophyta; Chlorophyceae; Chaetopeltidales; Chaetopeltidaceae. The record is from RNAcentral.
CACAGGACUCUGCAAAGUGAUAGAACACGAAGUAUAGAGUCUGACGCCUGCCCGGUGCUGGAGAAUAAUACAUAAAGUCCAGUAAACGGCGGCAGUAACCCUGACUGUCUAUUAUAAUUUUAGGGCAGUCAUUAAAUGUAGCGAAAUUCCUAGACGUAUAAUUGACGUCCCGCAUGAAUGGCGUCACGACCUCCCCACUGUCUCCCACAUGAACUUUGUGAAAUUGGAUUUUCCGUGAAGAUACGGAAUACCUUACGCGGGACGACGAGACCCUGUGCACCUUGACUAUAGGCUGUUGUUGGAUUCAAAUACCAAUUGUGUAGAAUAGGUGGGAGCAUCUGCAAAAGUGAAAUACCACUCCUUUGGAAAUUUUGAAUUCUAGGUCCUCAAAGGGGACUUAAAGCUGCAGUUUGGUAGUAGAUCUGGGGCGGAGGCCUCCUAAAAAGUCACGGGGGCGCACAAAGGUUAGGAUUAUGGCGCAACUGCUUAAACUAGCCUAACUGUGAGAACAAACGUUCAAACAGAAACGAAAGUUGGUAGUAGUGACCCAGAUAUGCCAUGUGGAAGCAUAUCUGAUCAACGGAUAAAAGGUACGCCAGGGAUAACAGGCUGAUAUCCCCCAAGAGUUCUUAUCGACGGGGAUGUUUGGCACCCGAUGUCGACUCGACGCGUCCUACGGCUGCAGGUGGUCGUAAGGGUUGGACUGUUCGUCCAUUAAAGCGUUACGUGAGUUGGGUUUAGACCGCUGCAAGGCAGGUUGGUUACUAUCUGCGUAAGGUGUAAAAUACUGAAGGAAAGCGGCUUUAGUACGAAAGGAUCGGGGCCGCCAAACCAAUAGUCGUUAAACGGCCACGUUUGCACCUAUUACUGCUGAAAGCAACUAAAGCAGGAAGAGGUUCCUAAAACAAGUAUUUUUAAACGCUCAACACUCGGGCGUUGAUAGGCAUUUUUAUGAAUGUACUAAAAAAUAGAGUUUUUUAAUCUAUACAAAUUUUCAUUACAGGGUAUUGGC